Molecule: ribosomal RNA, 434 nt
Filed under: uncultured bacterium
Lineage: Bacteria
Description: partial 16S ribosomal RNA
Rfam family: Bacterial small subunit ribosomal RNA
Source: RNAcentral
AGCGAACGCUGGCGGCAGGCCUAACACAUGCAAGUCGAACGAACCUUUCGGGGUUAGUGGCGGACGGGUGAGGAACACGUGGGAACGUGCCUUUAGGUUCGGAAUAACUCAGGGAAACUUGUGCUAAUACCGAAUGUGCCCUUCGGGGGAAAGAUUAAUCGCCUUUAGAGCGGCCCGCGUCUGAUUAGCUAGUUGGUUGAGGUAAUGGCUCACCAAGGCGACGAUCAGUAGCUGGUCUGAGAGGAUGAUCAGCCACAUUGGGAGUGAGACACGGCCCAAACUCCUACGGGAGGCAGCAGUGGGGAAUCUUGCGCAAUGGGCGAAAGCCUGACGCAGCCAUGCCGCGUGAAUGAUGAAGGUCUUAGGAUUGUAAAAUUCUUUCACCGGGGACGAUAAUGACGGUACCCGGAGAAGAAGCCCCGGCUAACUUCGUG